AACCGUCGAUUGGUGCUGACAAGUCAAGGAUGGAAUCCAGUUUUGUUAUCCCCGUGAAAAGUGCAAUAUAUUCCAAAGAUGCUAUCUUCAACAAAAAAAAAAAAAAACGAACUUGGCUGGAUCCUGUUCUGGUGCUGGCAAAAGCCGGAGAAGAAUUCUGUCUCUUGGAGUGAGGUGUCCAUGCAGCAGUAUUUCCCAUAACAUACCCCUUCUGAUGCGCGCUUGCUGUUCUCUAUGCUGACUUACUCCCUUCAUUGCUAUUUGGUUUUGUAAUAAUCCCGCUUUCUUGGGUUUUCAAAAAUUUUGUUGGAGGAUUCCAAUGAGGCCUGCUAUUCCCUACAGUUACUGUAUUGUUAGAAAUCCAUAACAAACAGCGCCAUGAUAUUCAGAAUCAUCUAUCAUCUAUAAAGUUAAAGAUACAUGUACAUAUAACCCUUUGACACGGCGGUUGAUCAUCGUCUCGGCAUAUGAAGAACUCACAUUCCAUUAGUUUUUGGACUGAAAAUGAACCAUUGGCGCGUUCCUAGCAUUCACUCAUUCUAUGAUCUAGGCGUCACAUUCUCAGGGAGAGUUCCUGGAGUUACAGUUCCUGGGUCAGAUCAUCAAGAGACCUGUUCCGGCUCUAAGGAGUGCUUUAUGGGCUCCUAGACGCGAACUUUUACGGUACUAAAACAGAAAACGAUCACACGGUUUUCAUGGCGAGUCCAUGGCGGGGGAUCCAGACGGCUACGCAAUACGUGAUGAUGUUUAUGGGUAAUGUGCUUACAGAAAGGCAUAUAAAGAUAUUCUGGAGAUAUUCUGAAUCA
RNAcentral lists this small RNA (806 nucleotides) under Histoplasma capsulatum. RNAcentral's name for it is "hypothetical RNA". The record is from RNAcentral. Lineage: Eukaryota; Fungi; Ascomycota; Eurotiomycetes; Onygenales; Ajellomycetaceae. RNAcentral also lists the same sequence under 1 other name.